GGGCGUAUAGCUUAGUCUGGUAGAGCGCUGGUCUUAUAUACCAGAGGUCCCAGGUUCAAAUCCUGGUUCGCCCA
Molecule: transfer RNA, 74 nt
Filed under: Candidatus Woesearchaeota archaeon
Lineage: Archaea; Nanobdellati; Candidatus Woesearchaeota
Description: tRNA-Ile
Rfam family: tRNA
About the family: Transfer RNA (tRNA) molecules are approximately 80 nucleotides in length. Their secondary structure includes four short double-helical elements and three loops (D, anti-codon, and T loops).
Source: RNAcentral